Molecule: ribosomal RNA, 2364 nt
Filed under: Escherichia coli
Lineage: Bacteria; Pseudomonadati; Pseudomonadota; Gammaproteobacteria; Enterobacterales; Enterobacteriaceae
Description: bacterial LSU rRNA
Rfam family: Bacterial large subunit ribosomal RNA
Source: RNAcentral
GUGACUGCGUACCUUUUGUAUAAUGGGUCAGCGACUUAUAUUCUGUAGCAAGGUUAACCGAAUAGGGGAGCCGAAGGGAAACCGAGUCUUAACUGGGCGUUAAGUUGCAGGGUAUAGACCCGAAACCCGGUGAUCUAGCCAUGGGCAGGUUGAAGGUUGGGUAACACUAACUGGAGGACCGAACCGACUAAUGUUGAAAAAUUAGCGGAUGACUUGUGGCUGGGGGUGAAAGGCCAAUCAAACCGGGAGAUAGCUGGUUCUCCCCGAAAGCUAUUUAGGUAGCGCCUCGUGAAUUCAUCUCCGGGGGUAGAGCACUGUUUCGGCAAGGGGGUCAUCCCGACUUACCAACCCGAUGCAAACUGCGAAUACCGGAGAAUGUUAUCACGGGAGACACACGGCGGGUGCUAACGUCCGUCGUGAAGAGGGAAACAACCCAGACCGCCAGCUAAGGUCCCAAAGUCAUGGUUAAGUGGGAAACGAUGUGGGAAGGCCCAGACAGCCAGGAUGUUGGCUUAGAAGCAGCCAUCAUUUAAAGAAAGCGUAAUAGCUCACUGGUCGAGUCGGCCUGCGCGGAAGAUGUAACGGGGCUAAACCAUGCACCGAAGCUGCGGCAGCGACGCUUAUGCGUUGUUGGGUAGGGGAGCGUUCUGUAAGCCUGUGAAGGUGUACUGUGAGGUAUGCUGGAGGUAUCAGAAGUGCGAAUGCUGACAUAAGUAACGAUAAAGCGGGUGAAAAGCCCGCUCGCCGGAAGACCAAGGGUUCCUGUCCAACGUUAAUCGGGGCAGGGUGAGUCGACCCCUAAGGCGAGGCCGAAAGGCGUAGUCGAUGGGAAACAGGUUAAUAUUCCUGUACUUGGUGUUACUGCGAAGGGGGGACGGAGAAGGCUAUGUUGGCCGGGCGACGGUUGUCCCGGUUUAAGCGUGUAGGCUGGUUUUCCAGGCAAAUCCGGAAAAUCAAGGCUGAGGCGUGAUGACGAGGCACUACGGUGCUGAAGCAACAAAUGCCCUGCUUCCAGGAAAAGCCUCUAAGCAUCAGGUAACAUCAAAUCGUACCCCAAACCGACACAGGUGGUCAGGUAGAGAAUACCAAGGCGCUUGAGAGAACUCGGGUGAAGGAACUAGGCAAAAUGGUGCCGUAACUUCGGGAGAAGGCACGCUGAUAUGUAGGUGAAGUCCCUCGCGGAUGGAGCUGAAAUCAGUCGAAGAUACCAGCUGGCUGCAACUGUUUAUUAAAAACACAGCACUGUGCAAACACGAAAGUGGACGUAUACGGUGUGACGCCUGCCCGGUGCCGGAAGGUUAAUUGAUGGGGUCAGCGCAAGCGAAGCUCUUGAUCGAAGCCCCGGUAAACGGCGGCCGUAACUAUAACGGUCCUAAGGUAGCGAAAUUCCUUGUCGGGUAAGUUCCGACCUGCACGAAUGGCGUAAUGAUGGCCAGGCUGUCUCCACCCGAGACUCAGUGAAAUUGAACUCGCUGUGAAGAUGCAGUGUACCCGCGGCAAGACGGAAAGACCCCGUGAACCUUUACUAUAGCUUGACACUGAACAUUGAGCCUUGAUGUGUAGGAUAGGUGGGAGGCUUUGAAGUGUGGACGCCAGUCUGCAUGGAGCCGACCUUGAAAUACCACCCUUUAAUGUUUGAUGUUCUAACGUUGACCCGUAAUCCGGGUUGCGGACAGUGUCUGGUGGGUAGUUUGACUGGGGCGGUCUCCUCCUAAAGAGUAACGGAGGAGCACGAAGGUUGGCUAAUCCUGGUCGGACAUCAGGAGGUUAGUGCAAUGGCAUAAGCCAGCUUGACUGCGAGCGUGACGGCGCGAGCAGGUGCGAAAGCAGGUCAUAGUGAUCCGGUGGUUCUGAAUGGAAGGGCCAUCGCUCAACGGAUAAAAGGUACUCCGGGGAUAACAGGCUGAUACCGCCCAAGAGUUCAUAUCGACGGCGGUGUUUGGCACCUCGAUGUCGGCUCAUCACAUCCUGGGGCUGAAGUAGGUCCCAAGGGUAUGGCUGUUCGCCAUUUAAAGUGGUACGCGAGCUGGGUUUAGAACGUCGUGAGACAGUUCGGUCCCUAUCUGCCGUGGGCGCUGGAGAACUGAGGGGGGCUGCUCCUAGUACGAGAGGACCGGAGUGGACGCAUCACUGGUGUUCGGGUUGUCAUGCCAAUGGCACUGCCCGGUAGCUAAAUGCGGAAGAGAUAAGUGCUGAAAGCAUCUAAGCACGAAACUUGCCCCGAGAUGAGUUCUCCCUGACUCCUUGAGAGUCCUGAAGGAACGUUGAAGACGACGACGUUGAUAGGCCGGGUGUGUAAGCGCAGCGAUGCGUUGAGCUAACCGGUACUAAUGAACCGUGAGGCUUAACCUUACAACGCCGAAG